Oncorhynchus kisutch (coho salmon) is the source of this 1920-nucleotide long non-coding RNA. The record is from Ensembl. NCBI's taxonomy places the organism in Eukaryota, Metazoa, Chordata, Actinopteri, Salmoniformes, Salmonidae.
UGUCUUAUGUUUUAGCUGUCUGGUGUUCAUUAAUCAGUUUAUUUUAUUUUAUCACCAGUCGGCAAAGCCAAUGUUGCUGAGAAGAAAUCCUACAUCAUAGGGAUCCAGAAAAACAUCAGGAAGCUUGAGGAGGAAUCUCAUCAUAAGCAGAACAUUGUGAAGCAUCUCAAAGGCAAUACGAAAAGUCUAAAGGGAACUAACGGCCUCCUGCUGCAGUAUGAGAAGACGCUGCAGGCUGAAUUGGAGAGGAGACGAGACAACUGUAAUCAAGACAUGUCAAACAUUGUCCAUCGAAAAUCCAUUGGAAAGCAUCUCUGGUCUAUUGACGGCAGCAGAGUCUCACAGACAGUCAUCGGCUCAGACUGAGGAUGACCAUCAGUCUCCACUAGACAUCUCCUCCCUCCAUGUUUCCCAGGAUGGCCAUGAGAAACACGGAGAGGGAAUUGAAGAGCAUCUAGAGAAGACCGUUGCUCACCCUCCAUCACAAGGAGACACACACUGUGACCUGUGGUCAUACCCAGAGGCAAUGGAUGGAAUACACGCUUCAGACCAGGAGGAGGGAAGUUUACUAGAGGAACAGAAGGAGUGUCUGAACACCUCCAGUACAGUGGGGAUGGAGGAGGUGAAGGAGAGGGGGACUGAGGGAGGAGACGAACAGCCUACACCCCUCAUUACUGAGGCGGAGGAGGAUGAAGGGAUGGGAGCAGCAUUCUCUCCUCAGACUCCUAAUAGAAUGAAAGCUGUGUCCAGCACCCCAACCUUCUCCCUGAACAGGAGCCACAGUGGGUCACCUAGUCAGCUAGACGGAUCCACAGUAAAAUCCCCAGGCUUCCUGUUCUCCAUGAGCUCAGCUCCUAGCCCCACCACCCCUGACUUCUCUGGCUUCCACUGUGGCUUUGAACUGGGCUCAGGCCAGGAGGAAGAGCCUCCUUUCCCCUUCAGCAGCUCAUAUUUCAGCAGUGAAAAGAAACCGUCAGGAUCCAGAUCGCCAUCAGGCUUCCUGUUUGCCCGGCCAGAGUCGGAGAAGUCAGAAGAUGGAUUUGAGUUCCCCUUCAGCUCUAAGAGUCCUGGUCAACCGUCAACCAGCAGAGAGAAGGGAUCAGGGGCUGGGGACUCCUUCCCUUUCUCCUUUAACUUCUAGCACAUCUUACUGUAAAACUUCAUGUAUGCUUCAAAUGGCACCCUAUUCCUUAUAUAGUGCACUACUUUUGCCCAGGGCCAUGUAGUGUUCUAGGGCAAUAGGGCGCCAUUUGGAUGCAUCCUGAGAUUCUUCCUCGUUACUGUACAUGAGUUCCAUUUCAUGUUUGGUUAUUUCUAGAAAUAUGCAGAGGACUUCAACACAACUCUUUGUUGUUGUUAUGCACUGUAGAUCUGUUUUAGCGGUUGUUAAUAUUUACUCUAGUAAUUAGUUGAAUCAACUGUUGUAUGAAAAUUACUACCUUAUAAGAUAAAGUACCAUCUAGACUUAAACUUCGCUGUUUGUUCAUAAGUCAUUUAUAAUUAUUUAAAACUUAAUUGUAUUAAUAUUUAACUAAAUAAAAUCAGAUAAAAACAUACAUUUGUGUCAAGUUGGCUGGAUGUCCUUUGGGUGGUGGACCAUUCUUGAUACACACAGGAAACUGUUGAGCGUGAAAAACACAGCAGCUUUGCAGUUCUUGACACAAACCGGUGCACCUGGCACUUACUACCAUACCCUGUUAAAAAGGCACUUAAAUCUUUUGUCUUGCCCAUUCACUCUCUGAAUGUCACACAUACACAAUCCAUGUCUUAAUUGUCUCAAGGCUUAAAAAUCCUUCUUUAACCUGUCUCCUCCCCUUCAUCUACACUUAUUGAAGUGGAUUUAACAAGUGACAUCAACAAGGGAGCAUAGCUUUCACCUGAAUUCAGGUGGGACCUAACGAUGGAAUAUUAUCACAAUAC